UACGUAGGGGGCCAGCGUUGUCCGGAAUCAUUGGGCGUAAAGCGCGCGUAGGCGGCCAGAUAAGUCCGGUGUGAAAGUCAAAGGCUCAACCUUUGAAUGCCGCUGGAAACUGCCUGGCUUGAGUCCGGAAGGGGCGAGUGGAAUUCCUGGUGUAGCGGUGAAAUGCGCAGAUAUCAGGAGGAACACCAAUGGCGAAGGCAGCUCGCUGGAACGGUACUGACGCUGAGACGCGAAAGCGUGGGGAGCAAACAGG
Molecule: ribosomal RNA, 253 nt
Filed under: uncultured bacterium
Lineage: Bacteria
Description: partial 16S ribosomal RNA
Rfam family: Bacterial small subunit ribosomal RNA
Source: RNAcentral